This 314-nucleotide ribosomal RNA is filed under the name uncultured bacterium. RNAcentral describes it as "partial 16S ribosomal RNA". It matches the Rfam family "Bacterial small subunit ribosomal RNA", at positions 499 to 807 of the family's 1533-position model. The record is from RNAcentral.
GUAUAAGAGACAGCAGUAGCCACGGGAAUACGUAGGUGGCAAGCGUUGUCCGGAAUUAUUGGGCGUAAAGGGCUCGCAGGCGGUUUCUUAAGUCUGAUGUGAAAGCCCCCGGCUCAACCGGGGAGGGUCAUUGGAAACUGGGAAACUUGAGUGCAGAAGAGGAGAGUGGAAUUCCACGUGUAGCGGUGAAGUGCGUAGAGAUGUGGAGGAACACCAGUGGCGAAGGCGACCCUCUGGUCUGUAACUGACGCUGAGGAGCGAAAGCGUGGGGAGCGAACAGGAUUAGAUACCCCCGUAGUCCCUGUCUCUUAUAC